Molecule: ribosomal RNA, 249 nt
Filed under: Salmonella enterica subsp. enterica serovar Senftenberg
Lineage: Bacteria; Pseudomonadati; Pseudomonadota; Gammaproteobacteria; Enterobacterales; Enterobacteriaceae
Also listed under: 7 other names
Description: partial 16S ribosomal RNA
Rfam family: Bacterial small subunit ribosomal RNA
Source: RNAcentral
AAAUUGAAGAGUUUGAUCAUGGCUCAGAUUGAACGCUGGCGGCAGGCCUAACACAUGCAAGUCGAACGGUAACAGAAAGCAGCUUGCUGCUUUGCUGACGAGUGGCGGACGGGUGAGUAAUGUCUGGGAAACUGCCUGAUGGAGGGGGAUAACUACUGGAAACGGUGGCUAAUACCGCAUAACGUCGCAAGACCAAAGAGGGGGACCUUCGGGCCUCUUGCCAUCAGAUGUGCCCAGAUGGGAUUAGCU